GGGAGCUUAGAUGUGGAAGCUCUUUGGAAACCAAGAAACACUCUGCAAAUGAAAAGGGUGGAAGAGUAAACUGUUCCUGUUUCUCCAUCUUGACAGGAAGCAGAAGUUCUCCUUAGCUGAUUUUUCUUCUUGCCUUAUACUGGGUUCUUUAACACCAGAACAAAAAUAAAUAAAUAAAAGAAUCUUCCAGAAAUUCAUGAAGAGACUUCAGGUCAGGAAAGCCUGAACUUUCUCAUCCAACACCUGUUCAAGUCGGAGGAUGCUGAUUAAUUCAUGAUGGAAAGGUAUCAAUUUCACAGCCCAGACCUCUACAUUCUUGAAAUGCUCUUCUCAUGGGAGACAUUAAAUAAGCUUUGAAUUAACUGUCAGACGUUUGCUGAAUUCAGUUCUGAGCUUUUGAACCAAAAGCAGAUCUUCAGAACAAGAAACAAGAUAAUAAAAGAGAAACAUGAAGAAACUGAAGAUGAUUGGAGAAAUAUGAAUCAAGAUGAUUAGACCUAGCAGAGGGCUGGCUGGAUGGCAUUUAUGUUGACAGUGGACUCCUACACAGAGGAUGAUCAUGGUCUAGGACAUAAUAGUCAUUCAAUCAUCAUUUCUUAAAUGAUUUUUUAAAACAAGUGAAUGAAUGACCAAUUAUAUAUCUUCCCUGAGCCAAUAAAAUAUAUUAAAAGUAUAGGCCUGGGCACAGUGGCUCAUGCCUGU
This 702-nucleotide non-coding RNA is filed under the name Pan troglodytes (chimpanzee). Lineage: Eukaryota; Metazoa; Chordata; Mammalia; Primates; Hominidae. The record is from RNAcentral.